This 2108-nucleotide long non-coding RNA is filed under the name Marmota monax (woodchuck). Lineage: Eukaryota; Metazoa; Chordata; Mammalia; Rodentia; Sciuridae. The record is from RNAcentral.
AGGGUCUGAAGGGCUCCAAAUGAAUUCCUGUCUUUUUUUCUCCCCACACCCCACGCCUUCCUGCUUCUCGUCGUCUCCCUCCUCCAGUCUAAAGAAUCCUCGUCUGUCUUGAGUUGUGACAUUUCAGCGGAUGACAAAUAUAUUGUAACAGGCUCUGGUGACAAGAAGGCCACAGUUUAUGAGGUCAUCUACUAAACAAGGACUCUAACAGGGCUGUCCAACUCUGGGAGAAACCAUCUCGGCUCUGACAGGGAGACCCCAGUCGAGGCCCCUGAGGAUGGCGGAGGAGGGGCCGUGAGCAGCCGCGCUCCGGGCUGUGCUCCAGCGGGCUGAGAGGGCACGUGCCCGCCAUGGCCCGGACUCCUGGGCAUGGAUUGAUGUGUCUCACAGACUCGGAUGGAUUCUCUUCUCCUCCUCCCCCUUAACAAUGCUGGCAGAUGCUACAAAUAGAUUUAUUUGGAGGCUUGUGGCUCCAGUUCCCCACAGACACCCUCAUGAAUCUCUGUCUCUUCCUCCCCAUUCUUUUGACCUGUCCCCUCCCUGCUUGGGUGGGGGACAAUGGAGUGGACCACAUUGUUGUGCUGGGGAGGGGGAUCUCGUUCCUUAUUGUGCAGUGCACAAGAUUUGUGAAAACUGUAAAUAACAGACUCCUGUGGUGGACUGGUCAGUGGGGGAGGAAGCCCCUGCCCAGUGGGAGCUCGCCGUGUAUUUCGCCUGCUGUAUUUGUGAUCCACUCGUGGUGGUGGCUUUUUGUUUUUGUUUUUGUUUGUUUUUUAAACAGAAGUUCCCAUCAGGGAAAGGGACAGGGAGGGAGUAACAGGAAGAAGGGGUUGGAACAGGGAGGAGAGUCCUGGGAUCGGGGAAGGACCUGCAGCGGCCAAGCAGACUGGCACCUAACACCAGGUGAACGCGCCUCAUGCGGGUUUGGCACCCUAGGCAAGCCUUGAGGGAGUGCCAGAUGGACAGACGGACUGAAGGACAGUGCUGAGACCGGGCCGACCUGGGUUGAUGUCCAUAGGGGACAGCUGGGUUUCCCUCUGCUCUGUCUGCCUCUUGCCCUGUCUUGAGUCUCCCUCUCUCUCAGGCCUCUGGCUCCAUCUUUCUCUCCUUCUCCUCUUUCUCUUUGGUGCACACUGGGUCAUUGUGAUGAGAAAUGGAGGUUCAGAGGAACUCCCUCUCCAGCCUUUCUUAAUCUUCCAGAUGGAUGGAUGGACACAGCCUGGAAAUGACACCACGGUCGAGGGAAGCAUAGCAACUCAGCUCAGGGAGCUACCAGAGAAAAACAGCAAUGGAUGUGGGUGCUUUUUUUUUUUUUUUUUAAUUUGAAUAAAAAGAAUUAGAAGUGAUGUCCUUUUAUAAAAUGGCUUCUCCCCCUUCCUGCCUUCAGCCCCUUCCUCUCUCCCUAGAGGGGACAAGCAGGUUAACCUACAGGGUUAUAAAGUCUGAGCAGGUGACUUGCCCUCUUCCCCUCCUGGGCAGGGCAGAGAGGUGCGCUGCCGUGAUUCCUAACAGCUCUCAGUCUCUUGUGGCCCACACAAGUUCCAGGUAGAAUAUGGUCUCCUGCGGUUGGUUACCAAGCUUUGGUACCAAAUGUUCUGAGGUAUUAGGAUGUUUUUGGUCUUUUUUUUUUUUUUUCCUUUAAAAAAAAAAAAGCUAAAGGCAGUGUGAGUCCUGGGGGUGGGCUCUCCAUGGAUGUAGCAUAUGGAAGAUAAUUUUUAUACCGCAUUUUUAUGGAUUAUUUUAUAAUGUGUGAGUUGGUCUGGUGAGGAGGAGGAGGAGGAGGGGCUUCUGUGAAAACCGCCCAUCUUCAGGUGCUCCUGCAGCUGAGCAGCUUCCGGACGUGACGUGGAGGUCGUGGCUUGGAGCCGGCACAGCACCCUGUAUCUGUCUGAGAUGGGGACGCAGGGCGUCUGGAGUCUCUGUCCCUCUCCCUGAGUCUCAGAUGUUCAUCUGCCACCUCUUGUUAAGGCUCUAGCCCGGAGGGAGGGUGAGGGUAGAAGAAAGUUAUUCCUGAAGAAAAAAAAAAAAGAAAAUGAAAAGUCAUUGUAAUGAGCUGUUUUUAUAUUUUUAAAAGUUACUAUUUAAAGGUUGGUUUGAUUGUUGCGUUU